Molecule: ribosomal RNA, 489 nt
Filed under: uncultured bacterium
Lineage: Bacteria
Description: partial 16S ribosomal RNA
Rfam family: Bacterial small subunit ribosomal RNA
Source: RNAcentral
GAUGAACGCUAGCUACAGGCUUAACACAUGCAAGUCGAGGGGCAGCAUGGUCUUAGCUUGCUAAGGCCGAUGGCGACCGGCGCACGGGUGAGUAACACGUAUCCAACCUGCCGUCUACUCUUGGACAGCCUCCUGAAAGGAAGAUUAAUACAAGAUGGCAUCAUGAGUCCGCAUGUUCACAUGAUUAAGGUAUUCCGGUAGACGAUGGGGAUGCGUUCCAUUAGAUAGUAGGCGGGGUAACGGCCCACCUAGUCUUCGAUGGAUAGGGGUUCUGAGAGGAAGGUCCCCCACAUUGGAACUGAGACACGGUCCAAACUCCUACGGGAGGCAGCAGUGAGGAAUAUUGGUCAAUGGGCGCAGGCCUGAACCAGCCAAGUAGCGUGAAGGAUGACUGCCCUAUGGGUUGUAAACUUCUUUUAGAAAGGAAUAAAGUCGGGUAUGUAUACCCGUUUGCAUGUACUUUAUGAAUAAGGAUCGGCUAACUCCGUG